AGACGGAAGGUGCGAACGUUGUUCGGUGUCACUGGGCUUAAAGGGUGUGUAGGCGGCCGAGUAAGUGUGGGGUGAAAUCCCUCGGCUUAACCGAGGAAUGGCCUCAUAUACUGCUCGGCUUGAGGACCAUAGGGGAGAGCGGAACGUUGCAAGUAGGGGUGAAAUCCGUAGAUAUGCGACGGAAGACCGGUGGCGAAGGCGGCUCUCUGGAUGGUUUCUGACGCUGAGACACGAAAGCGUGGGUAGCGAACGGGAUUAGAAACCCCAGUAGUCC
This 274-nucleotide ribosomal RNA is filed under the name uncultured bacterium. Its description in RNAcentral is "partial 16S ribosomal RNA". It matches the Rfam family "Bacterial small subunit ribosomal RNA", at positions 523 to 796 of the family's 1533-position model. The record is from RNAcentral.